AGUGAACGCUGGCGGUAGGCCUAACACAUGCAAGUCGAACGGCAGCACAGUAAGAGCUUGCUCUUACGGGUGGCGAGUGGCGGACGGGUGAGGAAUACAUCGGAAUCUACUUUUUCGUGGGGGAUAACGUAGGGAAACUUACGCUAAUACCGCAUACGACCUACGGGUGAAAGCAGGGGAUCUUCGGACCUUGCGCGAUUGAAUGAGCCGAUGUCGGAUUAGCUAGUUGGCGGGGUAAAGGCCCACCAAGGCGACGAUCCGUAGCUGGUCUGAGAGGAUGAGACGCCAAACUGGAACUGAGACACGGUCCAGACCCCUACGGGAGGCAGCAGGGGGGAAUUUGGGAAAAGGGGCGAAACCCUGACCCAGCCAUCCCGCGGGGGUGAAGAAGGCCUGCGGGUUUUAAAGCCUUUUUUUUGGGAAAAAAAAGAAGCAGGUUAAAACCCCGCUGUUCUGACGGUACCCAAAAAAAAAGCCCCGGCUAACUUCGU
Molecule: ribosomal RNA, 491 nt
Filed under: uncultured bacterium
Lineage: Bacteria
Description: partial 16S ribosomal RNA
Rfam family: Bacterial small subunit ribosomal RNA
Source: RNAcentral